GAUGAACGCUCGCUACAGGCUUAACACAUGCAAGUCGCGGGGCAGCAUGGGGGUUGCUUGCAAUCCCCGAUGGCGACCGGCGCACGGGUGAGUAACGCGUAUCCAACCUGCCCUUCACCACGGGAUAACCCGGCGAAAGUCGGACUAAUACCGUAUGUUGUCCAUUGACGGCAUCCGAUUUGGACGAAAGGCUUGGCGGUGAGGGGUGGGGAUGCGUCCGAUUAGCCAGACGGCGGGGUAACGGCCCACCGUGGCUACGAUCGGUAGGGGUUCUGAGAGGAAGGUCCCCCACACUGGAACUGAGACCCGGUCCAGACUCCUACGGGAGGCAGCAGUGAGGAAUAUUGGUCAAUGGGCGUAAGCCUGAACCAGCCAAGUAGCGUGCAGGAUGACGGCCCUAUGGGUUGUAAACUGCUUUUAUGCGGGGAUAAAGUGGCCCACGGGUGGGCUUUUGCAGGUACCGCAUGAAUAAGGACCGGCUAAUUCCGUG
Molecule: ribosomal RNA, 490 nt
Filed under: uncultured bacterium
Lineage: Bacteria
Description: partial 16S ribosomal RNA
Rfam family: Bacterial small subunit ribosomal RNA
Source: RNAcentral